Ctenopharyngodon idella (grass carp) is the source of this 1935-nucleotide long non-coding RNA. RefSeq lists it as uncharacterized. The transcript is spliced from 8 exons. The record is from RefSeq and is a predicted model, not a curated record. Lineage: Eukaryota; Metazoa; Chordata; Actinopteri; Cypriniformes; Xenocyprididae.
GAAGAGGUUUGUUCUUGUGUGUUGUUUCAGGUGGAGCCAAAAGUGAUGGAGAUCCAGGCUGAGAGGCUGAUGGACUAGGGCGGCAUCUACGGUCAGGAAGCCCAAGGUGGAACUGCUGGCUCGUGGAACCAAGUUGAAGAUGGGGGCUUGGCAGACUGGGCCGACGACGGAGGGGGUGAGGAUGACGGGGAAGCCAGAGGGAAGAAGGAGCCCAGUGGAGCCAAAGGGCUGGGGAGUCGAGGCACAGCCGGAGUCCCAGAAGUCUGUGAUGGAGGCAGAGUGACGACUGACUGAGGCUGACUGGAGGGACGAGGGAGCCCGGAGGAGUCCUAGGGCUGACGGACCACUGUGGAGCCGAUGUGCUGACAGGCUGAGGUUGAGUCAUGGGCCUGGAGGACCAAGGUGGCAGACUCUAGCUCGUGGUCUGUAGUUGGCACGGGCUCGGGCUCCUUCUCUGCCUCACAGAUGGUGAUAAGGGAACCGCUAUGCAGCAACACCCACCCCACGUACUCCGCUCACGGAGGAGGAGACUCUGUGCUUGGUCUGUGUUUGGAAUGAAUCAAUUGGAUGUUAGAUUCCUCUGCAAAGAUUCUUGUGUGAGAGCUGAGGCCUUUCCCAGACACAACAGAAACCAGGGGCUGUGGUUCAUUUCAUGACUUCCUCCUCAUUGUUUGCCUGUCUAUGUGACUGGAAACCGGCAGUGACAGACAGAUGACUUUGGUCGCUCUUAAACCAAGCCUGUGGAGAAACUGGACCUGGUUCCCCAUAGAAGUAAUCCAGAGGGAGAGAGAAAGAGAGGAGCGAACGAGGAGACGCAUCAGGAUACCAGCCUGCCUGGAGCUGCACCCAAACAUCAAGGGAGUCUGGAAUAGUCCCUGUGUGGGUUAAAAGGCCUUGCCAAGCCAGUCAUCAGGGGAUCCAUUGCCUAAGACCUGCGCAUGCCCAUAAGCCAUGUUCAGGUUUCUCUGCUGACUAUAAAAAUGGAUGGUUGGAGGGCAAUUGGGAGAAGAGGGAUGUUCCGUAGAAACACAUGCUGUUCAAAGUAUCUUUCAAUCGACAGGUUCCUUGGGGGAAAACCUUGAAGAUAGAGAUGAAAAUGAAAGUAAAUGAAGAUGUUUCAGCAUCCAGCCAAAUUUUCCAUCAAUUUACAUACUGUUGCGUAAACAGAAGCAAGCGACCCAGAGAUGGCAUAACGGAGAGGCCCUGAUGAAGACAGAUCCUAUCGUUAACUUUGCACUCACAGAGGGCCCCAUGGGGAACUGUGUAAAUGCUACUAGCCUUUUCUCCUAAUGUUGGUGUCUCUGUUAUAGAUUGUUUGCCAUUUUGAAAAAUAUGCAACUGUGUCUUUUGCCAUUUUUUACAUCGUUGCAUGAGGUACCACCACCACUAUGCAUGACUGCAACAACAUACUCAUGUAUGCUGAUACUCACUACCUGAGACUUUUGCUUUUAUAAAUGUAUUUUUUAUGUGUUUCUGUCAUAUUCAUGUCUGUCAGUUAUAGUUGUGUGACUAAGCUUAGUUGAGCUUUUCUACUUUUCAACACAAUGAGCUAAUGCUAUCGCACAAUGAAUCUACCCACAAAAAAAGCUUUGACAUUGUUAAUGCGCAUUUGUAUGGCUGGUUAAAUAGUAUCACUAAAUAUCUUUCUCUAUAUAUUUUAUUUAAGUGUAAAUGGUGGGGUACAGCAGGCCCACAAUUUUACAAUUAAAAAAUUGAGGCACCACUUGGGGAAUCAGUGUUUUUUAACAAAUCAGUUGAGUGAAUGAUUCAAUGGCUUGUUUACAAAGACAAUUGUUAAAUUCUAAACCACAUACUAGCAUACUAUUCUUACUAUUGUUGUCAUAACCUUCUAUAGCAGGAAUAGUAAUUGUUUGCAGUUCUGAAUUCAGCAAAUCUCUUGUUUCGUUAAUGAAUAAAUCAGUGUUUUUGAACUAA